RNAcentral lists this ribosomal RNA (406 nucleotides) under uncultured bacterium. RNAcentral describes it as "partial 16S ribosomal RNA". It matches the Rfam family "Bacterial small subunit ribosomal RNA", at positions 30 to 526 of the family's 1533-position model. The record is from RNAcentral.
AUUGAACGCUGGCGGCAGGCCUAACACAUGCAAGUCGAACGAGUGGCGGACGGGUGAGUAAUGUCUGGGAAACUGGCUGAUGGAGGGGGAUAACUACUGGAAACGGUAGCUAAUACCGCAUACCAUCGGAUGUGCCCAGAGGGGAUUAGCUAGUAGGUGAGGUAAAGGCUCACCUAGGCGACGAUCCCUAGCGGGUCGGAGAGGAUGACAAGCCACACUGGAACUGAGACACGGUCCAGACUCCUACGGGAGGCAGCAGUGGGGAAUAUUGCGCAAUGGGCGAAAGCCUGAUGCAGCCAUGCCGCGUGUAUGAAGAAGGCCUUCGGGUUGUAAAGUACUUUCGUCGGGGAGGCGUUACCCGCAGAAGAAGCAACGGCUAACUCCGUGCCAGCAGCCGCGGUAAUUC